CGUUGAAACACCGGUUCUCGUACGAUCACUGAAGUUAAGCAACACCGAGCCUGGUCAGUACUUAGAUGGGUGAUAGCUUGGGAAUACCAAGUGCUGUAAG
Acanthosepion pharaonis is the source of this 100-nucleotide non-coding RNA. The record is from the annotation of a GenBank genome assembly. Lineage: Eukaryota; Metazoa; Mollusca; Cephalopoda; Sepiida; Sepiidae.